RNAcentral lists this long non-coding RNA (1411 nucleotides) under Pan troglodytes (chimpanzee). Its description in RNAcentral is "long non-coding RNA NONPTRT014418". Lineage: Eukaryota; Metazoa; Chordata; Mammalia; Primates; Hominidae. The record is from RNAcentral.
UGCUUUGAGAGUGGAGUGAGAGCAGAGGUGACCUAUGCCGUAGCGCGACAGAAGCUAUCUGCCUUUGUUUUUUUUUUUCUUCCAGGGCAUCCACAUUAAUCUGGAUAAAGGCUGCUUUUGUGAUCGGAGACAUUAGAACAGAAAGGCCUGGGAUGUUUCAGAAAGUUGGUAGUGCAGUUUUUAUUACUUCUUACAGGAACAUGUUCCUCUUAACAGCAGAAAGAGGCUUAACCUAAAGAAUUUAAUUGCUAACUAUACAAUUAUGUUUACUAGGUUAGGCCAAGUAUUUUGUUGUCUGUUUUUGUUUUAUGAAGGAGAGGAGGUUGCUCUGGAUCACCACACACGUGUCUACCUAGUCUUUGAUGGCUUACAGCAUUUUACUGAUAUUUAGGCACUGAUCAUGUAUAAGGAUAACUCGUCCACUUUUAUCUGUGUUCUCUAUCCUGGACACUGAGCUACUCAAGGGCAGGGUGAGUGUCUUGCUGAACUGAUAUCCUGAAGCUGAGCACAGUUCUUGACACAAAUGGGAAUGCAGCAAAUGCUUAUUGAGGAAUAAAUCAAUAAAUAUGGCUAGCCUGCCUCAAUCUUAAAAUGUAGAAAAUGUGCCCAUUUUCUGAAGUGAAGGUAUUAUAUGCCUCUCUUCAACAUGUAGAAAAAUCAAAAUCAUCAUCAUGAUUCACCCAACGUGUGUAAUGGCCGACCCUGAACAGCGAGUCAAAUGUUUUCCUUUAGAAGCGGGUUCACAGCUGUGCUGGGCAUCUUCCUGUUUUAUUCGUGACCAUGGGUGCCUUUGCAAAUCCAUUUGUGACUAAAUUCACAAAAAUUUAGUCACCAAAAAAAUGAGAAGAAGCAAUAUGUAAUUGCCCUUUGAAAUUGAUUUGCAAACCAUUGUUUAUUUCAGCUCAGUGUUUUAAAAUGAUAUUCACAAUAAUGUGACUGUCUCUUCCUGCCCCAGCUCAUUCUAUGGUCCAUGCAUGUUUCUGAAUCAUUUGGCUGAGCUAUAAUCCUCAGAAACCAGGGACAGCUGUCCGUGGACGGACAUGCUUUUCUGGAAGGAUCUCUCCACUGGACAACUUACAGCUGGUGGGAAUUACCUGAGCCAUGGUGAUAUGGAAAAACCCACAUCAGUCAGGAUGCUAUGACUAAUAGAGUCUAAUAUAGUUUUUUAAAAGAGGUAAUUAAUUUGUUAGCACAAAAUGGCCAGAAUGAUUUAUAGAAAUAAAAUAGAUACUGCAUAUAAAUAAGUACCUAUUGUUGAUGUCAUCAUUGGAGGCAGUGUAGACAUGCAUAAACAGAUGGAAAAUGGGGCUGUUGAUUAGAUACUAGUUCUGCCCUCUAUUGCCUUGGGAAAAUUAACCACUCUAAGCUUCAGGUUUUUAAUGUGCCUGAUGGAGAUAAUGUUUUCUUCUUG